UACGUAGGGCGCAAGCGUUUAAAGAGCUCGUAGGCGGCUUGUCACGUCGAUUGUGAAAGCCCGAGGCUUAACCUCGGGUCUGCAGUCGAUACGGGCUAGCUAGAGUGUGGUAGGGGAGAUCGGAAUUCCUGGUGUAGCGGUGAAAUGCGCAGAUAUCAGGAGGAACACCGGUGGCGAAGGCGGAUCUCUGGGCCAUUACUGACGCUGAGGAGCGAAAGCGUGGGGAGCGAACAGG
Molecule: ribosomal RNA, 235 nt
Filed under: uncultured bacterium
Lineage: Bacteria
Description: partial 16S ribosomal RNA
Rfam family: Bacterial small subunit ribosomal RNA
Source: RNAcentral